CCUACGGGGGGCAGCAGUGAGGAAUAUUGGUCAAUGGACGGAAGUCUGAACCAGCCAUGCCGCGUGCAGGAUGACGGCUCUAUGAGUUGUAAACUGCUUUUGUACGAGAAUAAUAGUUCUUACGUGUAGAGAUUUGCAUGUAUCGUACGAAUAAGCAUCGGCUAACUCCGUGCCAGCAGCCGCGGUAAUACGGAGGAUUCGAGCGUUAUCCGGAUUUAUUGGGUUUAAAGGGUGCGUAGGCUGUUGGAUAAGUUAGCGGUGAAAUGUCGGGGCUUAACCACGUGACUGCCUUUGAAACUGGUCGACUAGAGAGCGGAUGCAGCAGGCGGAAUGAGUAGUGUAGCGGUGAAAUGCUUAGAUAUUACGCAGAACACCGAUUGCGCAGGCAGCUUGCUAAUCCGCAUCUGACGCUGAUGCACGAAAGCGUGGGGAGCGAACAGGAUUAGAUACCCCUGUAGUC
RNAcentral lists this ribosomal RNA (460 nucleotides) under uncultured bacterium. RNAcentral's name for it is "partial 16S ribosomal RNA". It matches the Rfam family "Bacterial small subunit ribosomal RNA", at positions 338 to 795 of the family's 1533-position model. The record is from RNAcentral.